AUUUUAAAUUUUUUUUAAAAUUUAUAUUUAAAAUUUUGGCUUAUUAUUUUGAAAAUUUGAUGUAACUUUCUAAUAUUUAAGUUUUAAUUUGAAUUUAAAUUACAAAUUUAAUUCUAUGUUUUGAACUGCGAACUCAAAUUUUAAAUUUAAUUUUAUAUUUUAUAUUUUAAAUUAAUUUUAUUUUAAUUUUUUUAAUAAUUAAAUUUUUUUCAUAUCAAUCAAACGUAGUAGAUAAUUUUAUCAAUUAUUCUGAUUCCGAUUAUUCUUCUAAACCAAACAUACUAGAUAAUUUUAUCAUUUGUUGUUUGAUUCCGGUCUAUUUCGAUUCCCAUUCCAAUUCCAAUUUCUAUUUUGAAUCAAAUGUUCGCUAAAUCUAUUUUAUUUCUUUAUAUUAAUAAUCUUAUUUACUUUAUAUAUUUUAAUUUACCCUAAAAUAUAGAACACCAUCCUAUAAAUAUAUAUAUUUUUAUUAUUUUUUCCCUUACUUUUAGAAAUGAAUAUUUUACCCCCUUAAAAUUUCACAAAUAUUUUUAAAGAGUUACGGUGUUAAUGGGCGAGAAAUGACCAAAUUACCCUUGUUCUAUGGAGAAGAAAAUAACUUUUAAUGUACUCCUCUCAUUUUCAUGAAUAUUUUCAAUAUAUUGAAUUAUAAAUUAUACAAAAUGAACGGAAUAGUGGCAAAGGGGGCUACGUGCAUCAACUUAAAAUUUUGAGAGAAUAAAAAAUAAAUUUUAAAAGUCAGGACGAAAAAUGAAAAAGUGGAUAUUAAUUUAUAGAAAAAUUUUCUGUAAUUUACCCUUUAAUUUAUAUAUAAAUUGAAGAUAGGAUCAACUAAGUU
RNAcentral lists this long non-coding RNA (838 nucleotides) under Ananas comosus (pineapple). RNAcentral describes it as "long non-coding RNA (ACOM_LNC009950)". Lineage: Eukaryota; Viridiplantae; Streptophyta; Magnoliopsida; Poales; Bromeliaceae. The record is from RNAcentral.